Molecule: long non-coding RNA, 1545 nt
Filed under: Olea europaea subsp. europaea
Lineage: Eukaryota; Viridiplantae; Streptophyta; Magnoliopsida; Lamiales; Oleaceae
Source: RNAcentral
UGCUUACUUGGUGUUUCUGCUGUUAGGCCUUGCCCGAAAAAUAAAUAAAAUAGAAAAUUAUAAACAAUAGAAAGUGUGAAAGGAAUUUACUUAAAUUCCAAAAUCUUUGAAUUUACAAAGACAGUUAGUUGGGGAUCAGUCAUCCAAGCAUUGUACCUAUGUUUUGCGGACCUAAGACGAACUUCGGAAUUUGAACUCCUAAAUUGUAGCUAGCAAUCAAUUUUUCCAUUUAUAAAAUUUUUACAAAACUAAAAUUUGUUAACUUAACAUUAACAAUAAAAUAACAAAUAUGAAAAAUGUUAAAAAUAUAUAUAUCACAAUCAAAUAAUCUUGGAAAAAUGUUUUAACCGAUCACUUCUAUACAACUCGCUCCUAGAUUUUAGAGGCAAAAAUAUGAAUCAAUUUUGGAUAAUCGAGUUGUUCAAUCAUUUUUUUUUCAAUGGAUAAUAUGAUCAAUCCAUUCAAUCUUUGCUGUGAAAUAAUUGAUCAGAGAUAAGUCUUGAUCAAUUUAAACUUGAAGAAUUUUAUUUGUUUUUUGCUGGUGCAAUUGUAAUUGGCAAUCUUGUAAGUAAUAUAAGCAUUUGUAAAACAACCAUUCACUUUUUUCAAAUAAUGUAGCACAUCAAUUAAUUAAUUUUUUUUUCCUUUUUUGUUUAUCUAGGUAAAAUAGUACUUCAUGACUAUCAACUCCAAACAUAAAGUUGCUUACAAUCUCCUCAAAAUACCAAAACAUUUUUAGCAAGUCUUUUCACAAUAACAAUUAUCCUCGAUACCACUUGCUUUUAAUGUUCUUUGUCUUUGUUAAUGGCCAACUGUGUGCUUUCAUCAAUUGUAUAUUUUGUUUGAAUCCUAUUUUUCAGUUCUAUACACCAUUCAUUCAACCUAUAUGCUCUUUAGCCAUUUCAUGUUUUGUAAAACAUCAAUACACAUGAUGCUAAUCUUUGUAUCCAUCACUAUCCAAUUGACCAAUACUUUUCAUUGUUUUUCUAUCUUAAACAAAUUGCAUAAAAAUAAAAGAUAAGAUAGAUUGGUAGUCCAUUUAGGGGGGAAAAACAAUGUUAGCAAUUAAAAAUAGUAAAUGAAACAAAGGGCCAGGCAAAUUCAUAAGAAUGAUAACAUAAAUACAUACGUAAUAAUUAAUAAACCAAUGGGUAAUACUAUAUUGAUGAAUCCCUCAUGAGUCAAUUCAAAAAUCAAAGGUAGUCCACUAUCCACUAUCAAAAAAUCAAAAGCUAUUGUAAACUAAUCACUAAUCCCUCAUAAACUAAAGGUAAAUUCAUAAAUCAAUAAGACAAUAACAUAAUAAACUAAUAAUCAAUUACAUAUAGAAAUUACAAUUAAUUCAUUUAUACACAUAUACAGUCGAUCAGAGAUAGAGAGAUAUUCCACAUAUUCAUAAUAAAUCGGAAUUAUAUACAAUUGAAGAAAGGGUAUUAGUACGUGCCUGCUCACUUCACUUGCAUAGGCAAAAAGUUAAAUAGAAAUCGUCUGUGGAUUGAAGAUGGAUGAAAAAUUGAUGAUGAGCAGAAAUAAUGGCAGUCAGAG